RNAcentral lists this ribosomal RNA (1168 nucleotides) under Yersinia enterocolitica. RNAcentral's name for it is "partial 23S ribosomal RNA". It matches the Rfam family "Bacterial large subunit ribosomal RNA", at positions 1 to 1211 of the family's 2925-position model. Lineage: Bacteria; Pseudomonadati; Pseudomonadota; Gammaproteobacteria; Enterobacterales; Yersiniaceae. The record is from RNAcentral.
GGUUAAGCGACUAAGCGUACACGGUGGAUGCCUAGGCAGUCAGAGGCGAUGAAGGGCGUGCUAAUCUGCGAAAAGCGUCGGUAAGGUGAUAUGAACCGUUAUAACCGACGAUACCCGAAUGGGGAAACCCAGUGCAAUUCGUUGCACUAUUGCAUGGUGAAUACAUAGCCAUGCAAGGCGAACCGGGGGAACUGAAACAUCUAAGUACCCCGAGGAAAAGAAAUCAACCGAGAUUCCCCCAGUAGCGGCGAGCGAACGGGGAGGAGCCCAGAACCUGAAUCAGCGUAUGUGUUAGUGGAAGCGUCUGGAAAGUCGCACGGUACAGGGUGAUAGUCCCGUACACAAAAAUGCAUAUGUUGUGAGUUCGAUGAGUAGGGCGGGACACGUGACAUCCUGUCUGAAUAUGGGGGGACCAUCCUCCAAGGCUAAAUACUCCUGACUGACCGAUAGUGAACCAGUACCGUGAGGGAAAGGCGAAAAGAACCCCGGCGAGGGGAGUGAAAUAGAACCUGAAACCGUGUACGUACAAGCAGUGGGAGCACCUUCGUGGUGUGACUGCGUACCUUUUGUAUAAUGGGUCAGCGACUUAUAUUUUGUAGCAAGGUUAACCGAAUAGGGGAGCCGUAGGGAAACCGAGUCUUAACUGGGCGUCUAGUUGCAAGGUAUAGACCCGAAACCCGGUGAUCUAGCCAUGGGCAGGUUGAAGGUUGGGUAACACUAACUGGAGGACCGAACCGACUAAUGUUGAAAAAUUAGCGGAUGACUUGUGGCUGGGGGUGAAAGGCCAAUCAAACCGGGAGAUAGCUGGUUCUCCCCGAAAGCUAUUUAGGUAGCGCCUCGUGAACUCAUCUUCGGGGGUAGAGCACUGUUUCGGCUAGGGGGUCAUCCCGACUUACCAAACCGAUGCAAACUCCGAAUACCGAAGAAUGUUAUCACGGGAGACACACGGCGGGUGCUAACGUCCGUCGUGAAGAGGGAAACAACCCAGACCGCCAGCUAAGGUCCCAAAGUCAUGGUUAAGUGGGAAACGAUGUGGGAAGGCAUAGACAGCCAGGAUGUUGGCUUAGAAGCAGCCAUCAUUUAAAGAAAGCGUAAUAGCUCACUGGUCGAGUCGGCCUGCGCGGAAGAUGUAACGGGGCUAAACCAUGCACCGAAGCUGCGGCAGCGA